UACAGAGGGGGCAAGCGUUGUCCGGAAUUAUUGGGCGUAAAGCGCGCGCAGGUGGUUUCUUAAGUCUGAUGUGAAAGCCCACGGCUCAACCGUGGAGGGUCAUUGGAAACUGGGGAACUUGAGUGCAGAAGAGGAAAGUGGAAUUCCAAGUGUAGCGGUGAAAUGCGUAGAGAUUUGGAGGAACACCAGUGGCGAAGGCGACUUUCUGGUCUGUAACUGACACUGAGGCGCGAAAGCGUGGGGAGCAAACAGG
This 253-nucleotide ribosomal RNA is filed under the name uncultured bacterium. RNAcentral describes it as "partial 16S ribosomal RNA". It matches the Rfam family "Bacterial small subunit ribosomal RNA", at positions 524 to 776 of the family's 1533-position model. The record is from RNAcentral.